UUUUUUCCUGGAUAAUUUCAUAACUCCAUGGAGCACCGCCACCAGAAGAUGAGAGAGCACCUUCGGUUUUCACAAGUGGUUGAAGAUCACCGCAAUAAUCAGUUGGAUUCCUUAUCUGCACGGUUGACUAGCUUGCAGUUUCUGAUGGAUGAUGGACAUGGGCGUGGUGGGUAUGGUCGGGGUAGGCAGGAUGGACGAGGUGGUUGGAACCAAUGCCAAAGUCG
This 224-nucleotide long non-coding RNA is filed under the name Lathyrus oleraceus (garden pea). RNAcentral describes it as "Pisum sativum (pea) long non-coding RNA (PSAT_LNC009653)". The record is from RNAcentral. Lineage: Eukaryota; Viridiplantae; Streptophyta; Magnoliopsida; Fabales; Fabaceae.